AUGUCAACAAUCCUUCCUCCAAAAGGACCAUUCUAUGGAUUAUAUUUAGUGAAAAUGCCCCAAAUCCUGAUAUUUCUUUACUCUAGUUUAUGGAGGAAUAACCUCUGUGCUUUGUCUGUCCACACAGGUCCACCAGUAGAGCUACCAGUGUUUACUCUGGUUAGUGAGGAGAGGAGCAUGGCUGAAGCCCAGAAGUUCUGCAGGGAGUACUAUGAGGAACUGGCCACCAUCUUCAAUGCUGAGGACCAGAUAGUAGCUCUGAGAGCAGUGUCAGCACAGAGCCUCACUGACGCAGUCUGGGUCCACUCCCAAUACCGUGCCUUUUGGCCCCAACUGGCCUAUUGGAAUACACCAAAUGCAAAGUGUGUUGUUCAUGGACAUACAGCAAAAGUUUGGAUUUUGAGAUAUUGCACAAUUUCAUGUCACUUUGUGUGCCAGAAAAGCACACAAUUAAACUCAGAGCUUAAAUACUACAUGGGUCAAGGUUCAUUGACGUGGGAGGGGGCACAGACGGCUUGCCGAGCCAAUGGAGAUGACUUAGCGAGCAUCCUCACCCAAGAGGAUUACACAGCAUUCCAAAGCAUAACAGAGACACAGCAGUUUGAAAUGUGGAUUGGACUCUACUGGAAGACUUCUACCAGAAUGUGGGAGUGGUCCAAUGGGGACCCCUUUCCAUACUGUGUGUCUGAGCCUCAACUGGGUGCUAGUAACUGCUGCUCCCUGACCCUUAAGGACCAUUGGCAGACUGAAAAUGUCACCCUGGAGAAGAUAGACUGCUCUCUGAAGAGACCGUUCCUUUGCACUGGAAAAAGGAGAAUCAAGCAGACCAUUGUAAGGAUGUCUCUGAAAUCUAAUACAGGAGGUGACCUCAAUGACCCAGUGGUAAAGGAACAGAUGUUGGAGCAGGUACAGUAGUCCUACAUGUCCCACAUUAGCAAUCAAUGUCAAGGUCACUCAUUUCACUGUUUUCAGGAUCAGGAAUGGAAACCUGACAUCACAUAGUAUUACAUUUAGGAUGCUGUAUUCAAAUGAGGGCUACUGACAUUAUCUAGUUUGAUCAUACCUUAUAGAUCAGAAAGGAGAUUGCUAAGAACGGGAACUUCAUCCAAGACUUGCGAUGGAGAGAACUGCCUAACGGAGAUGUUUUUCGCAAAAUAGUUGAACUUGGAAGCCCUGAAGAAGGUAAACACUUUUUUUGUGUCAGCUUUGGAGAAAAAAAACUCAUGUUUAGUCUGUUGUUCAGAGUCCCUUGUUCAGUGUGUUGUUAGGUUUUGCAUCCCGUUGACAGUAUGGAAAUCAAGUACUGUAAGGUGUUCAUGAACUAUUUCCAGUGAGAGUCUUUAUACUGUUGUGUUUGUUUUCUAAGGUCACUGUGGUUCUGGAUGAAGAGGACCAGCCAUGAUGAUGCAACAGGAGAGGGAUGGAAGUUUACUGUAAAUAACCCUAUUACCUCAUUAUAGAUGACCGUAUAUCAAUAACAUUAUCUUAGAUCAUGGUCAGUGUUUUUUCUUGAAUGAGAGAUAGCUUUAUGCUUAUGAAUGAAAAAUAUGAUGUCAAGUUAUUAGGCUAGAUUUAAACUCUACAAUGUUUUACUUUUGUAAUGCAAAAUUAUAAUGUACGAUUUUUGUUGGUGUAUGAAUGUAAUGUAAUAAUGUUUGUUGUACAUAAGGGCAAUUUGAUUAGUGAAGAGAAGAGGAAUAAAAAGGACAUUUGUGUUUGUUCAAGUUUGAAGAUAAAACAUGUAUGGUGAUAAGUUUCAGUGAUGGAUUUUCAGAGUGUAAAAUUAUUGAUAAUGAUGUUACUCACUUAUGGAUGUAACUGUCAACAUUCUUAGAUAAAAUAUGUUUGAUUAGUGACAAUGGUAUUAUGACUAUUUUCACCUUGCAGCAGGAAUGAUGAGAUGUAGGCAGUAGUCACAACAAUGUAGAAUGAUGUGUCCACUUCCAGGUGGGAGUAGAGGUCGACCGAUUAAUUGAUUUCAAGUUUUCAUAACAAUCGGAAAUCAGUAUUUUUGGUCACUGAUUUGGCCGUUUAAAAAAACGUUUUAUAUGUUAUUUUUUACACCUUUACUUAAUCUUUAUUUAACUAGGCAAGUCAGUUAAGAACACAUUCUUAUUUUCAAUGACGGCCUAGGAACGGUGGGUUAACUGCCUCGUUCAUGGGCAGAACGACAGAUUUUCGCCUUGUCAGCUCGGGGGAUUCAAUAUUGCAACCUUACAGUUAACUAGUCCAACGCUCUAACCACCUGCCUCUCAUUGCACUCCACGAGGAGACUGCCUGUUAUGCGAAUGCAGUAAGCCAAGGUAAGUUGCUAGCUAGCAUUAAACUUAUCUUAUAAAAAACAAUCAAUCAAUCAAUCAUAACCACUAGCUAACUACACAUGGUUGAUGAUAUUACUAGUUUAUCUAGCGUGUCCUGCGUUGCAUAUAAUCGAUGCGGUGCAUAUCGUUGCUCCAAUGUGAACCUAACCAUGAACAUCAAUGCCUUUCUUAAAAUCAAUACACAGAAGUAUAUAUUUUUAAACCUGCAUAUUAGCUAAAAGAAAUCCAGGUUAGCAGGCAAUAUUAACCAGGGAAAAUUGUGUCACAUCUCUUGUGUUCAUUGCACGCAGAGUCAGUGUAUAUGCAACAGUUUGGGCCGCCUAAUUUGCCAGAAUUGUACGUAUUAUGACAUAACAUUGAAGGUUGUGCAAUGUAACAGGAAUAUUUAGACUAAUGGAUGCCACCCAUUAGAUAAAAUACGUAACGGUUCCGUAUUUCACUGAAAGAAUAAAUGUCUUGUUCUUCGAGAUGAUAGUUUCCGGAUUCGACCAUAUGCUUUGAGGGUGGCUGUUGUCGCUGUGUUCCUGGUUUGAGCCCAGGGAGGAGCGAGGAGAAGGACGGAAGCUAUACUGUUACACUGGCAAUACUAAAGUGCCUAUAAGAACAUCCAAUAGUCAAAGGUUAAUGAAACACAAAUGGUAUAGAGAGAAAUAGUCCUAUAAUUCCUAUAAUAACUACAACCUAAAACUUCUUACCUGGGAAUAUUGAAGACUCAUGUUAAAAGGACCCACCAUCUUUCAUAUGUUCUCAUGUUCUGAGCAAGGAACUUAAACGUUAGCUUUGUUACAUGGCACAUAUUGUACUUUUACUUUCUUCUCCAACACUUUGUUUUUGCAUUAUUUAAAACAAAUUGAACAUGUUUCAUUAUUAAUUUGAGGCUAAAUUGAUUUUAUUCAUGUAUUAGAUUAAGUU
Oncorhynchus mykiss (rainbow trout) is the source of this 3233-nucleotide long non-coding RNA. The record is from Ensembl. NCBI's taxonomy places the organism in Eukaryota, Metazoa, Chordata, Actinopteri, Salmoniformes, Salmonidae.